ACCUACUACGCACGCUACAAAGAUUAUCUGUCAUCUCUGCAGAGCUGCGGUUUAUACCUCCGUGUUUGCAAAUGAGGAAACAAAGGCUCAGCGACCUUAAUUAACUUGUCCAAACGUGUCCACCCAACAAAUGGCAGAACCAGCCUGUGGAUCCAGAUGAUUUUAACCCCAGAGCCCAGGUUCCUUCCAGUUCCCACCGCCCGUGUCAUCUUGGGCAAGUACCCAACUGAGCAGUGUCGCUUUGAUGAAAAGAAAGAAUCCAUGUAAAACUCCUGGCACAGAACAUCAGUUAGAGCAAACAGAUGUGGAGAAGCAAUUCCUGAAGAGAUAGACCACUGGCAUAUGUCAGAACACAUGUGGUUUCUGGAAGCUUCCCAGGGGGCUGCUUUUUCACAUAGGAACAGUGGCACCCCAGCCACUAGAGGAACACUGCGUUUUGAAAGAAGAUUCUAAUCAAAGAAGAUUCUUACCUCAUUAGAAUUCACAUGGAAGGAGUUCCACAUGGAAGGCCCGGUCUGGAGUAAGUGUGAAAAGUGCAUCUUUCCAGCGUUUCUCAAAUGGUACCCCAUCAUAUGCCUUGACAUUCAAUCAGUCUCAUCACCAAAACCAAGAGUGGCUGGACCUCAAAGAAUGGGAACUUUGAGGAAGCUGAGAAAAAAAGCCUCUGGGAUGUGAUUUCACUUCACCCAAACCUCCUGUGAGCCUCUGGUUACUCUCUCCUGAAUGCAAGGCCUACAAAAAGCGGUGUUGAGUCGCAGCCUGGAAGGCUGAGUUCUUGUAGGACAAAAAUAAUCCCAAUCAACUGCUGGCCCUGCUGGGUCCAUCUGUUAUUGGAAUUAAGUCCUUCUUUUCAUUUUAUUCAAACUGAAGAAACUUUCUGGCAAGGUGUCAGGUUUCAAACAGAAAUGUCAGCCAAGGGCUCGUGAGGCCAAGGUCUGAGCAAACUUGAAUCAAUUUAUGCUUUGGGUAAGAAUUCACUUGGAAUUUAGUGGUCUGGUGGGUCCAUUUGUGAAAUGCUCCUCAUUUGCAAGUGCUGGACUAAAUCUUGCAAGGAGCUGGGUAUAAAGUCAACAUCAGAGGCCCAUGUGACUUCUACCCAAUGUGAGGGUUAGCAGUAAAUGGGUUGCAGGGCACACUAGAGUGAUCUUCCCCAGCAUAAGAGCAGAAAAGAACUGGGACAUGUUCUAAGUUCUAAUUUAAACCUUGCUCUAUGUAUGAACCAGUCAAAACUAACCCUAUUGAUGAUAAUAACAGCAAGAACCUUUAAUGAAUAUUUACCAUAUACCAGGCUCUGUGCUAGAUACCUUACAUUUACUGAUCAAUUAAUCCUCUUGAUAAUUACAAAAUGGAUUUUAUUAUUUUCUCUAUUUCAUAGUUGAAAAUAAAACAGAGAAACAGAGCUUCAGAAACAUGCACCAGCUUAAAAAAAAUAACCCUCACCUGAGGAUAUGUUUUAUUGAUUUUAGAGAGAG
Myotis brandtii (Brandt's bat) is the source of this 1472-nucleotide long non-coding RNA. RefSeq lists it as uncharacterized. Lineage: Eukaryota; Metazoa; Chordata; Mammalia; Chiroptera; Vespertilionidae. The record is from RefSeq and is a predicted model, not a curated record. The transcript has 3 exons.